AAUGGGCGCAAGCCUGAACCAGCCAUCCCGCGUGAAGGAAGAAUGCGCUAUGCGUUGUAAACUUCUUUUCCAGGGGAAUAAAAUUUUGUACGAGUACGGAAUUGAAGGUACCCUGGGAAUAAGCAUCGGCUAACUCCGUGCCAGCAGCCGCGGUAAUACGGAGGAUGCGAGCGUUAUCCGGAUUUAUUGGGUUUAAAGGGUGCGUAGGCGGAUUGAUAAGUCAGUGGUGAAAACCUGCAGCUUAACUGUAGACUUGCCAUUGAUACUGUCAGUCUUGAGUAUGGUCAAGGUAGGCGGAAUGUGUAAUGUAGCGGUGAAAUGCUUAGAUAUUACGCAGAACACCGAUUGCGGAGGCAGCUUGCUGGGCCAUUACUGACGCUGAUGCACGAAAGCGUGGGGAUCGAAC
RNAcentral lists this ribosomal RNA (406 nucleotides) under uncultured bacterium. RNAcentral's name for it is "bacterial SSU rRNA". It matches the Rfam family "Bacterial small subunit ribosomal RNA", at positions 370 to 773 of the family's 1533-position model. The record is from RNAcentral.